RNAcentral lists this ribosomal RNA (254 nucleotides) under uncultured bacterium. Its description in RNAcentral is "partial 16S ribosomal RNA". It matches the Rfam family "Bacterial small subunit ribosomal RNA", at positions 524 to 776 of the family's 1533-position model. The record is from RNAcentral.
UACGUAGGGGGCAAGCGUUAUCCGGAUUUACUGGGUGUAAAGGGAGCGCAGGUGGCAAGGCAAGCCAGAAGUGAAAACCCGGGGCUUAACCCCGCGGAUUGCUUUUGGAACUGUCUGGCUGGAGUGCAGGAGGGGCAGGCGGAAUUCCUGGUGUAGCGGUGAAAUGCGUAGAUAUCAUGAGGAACACCGGUGGCGAAGGCGGCCUGCUGGACUGUAACUGACACUGAGGCUCGAAAGCGUGGGGAGCAAACAGG